GUUCACCAAAAGAUUUGAUUAUGUUUGAUUACUUUGCAAAUUAAAUCUCAUUUAAUUUGAUUUGAUAAUACUAAAUCUUCUUAGCAAAUCUUACUUAAUAACAUAUUUUUAAAAGAUACAACAAAUCUCCUUGGAAUCUAACAAAAUCUCGCUCAUAUUUACUCACAAACUCUGGCUACAGACUGAGGUCAGAUGAUGCACACAUGCUGGAACAUCUUAUCCCGCAUGAUGUCUUUUCAUAAAUUACAUCUUGUAUUGCCCAUGUUGUUUUACCUAGAGCUUGUCAAUCAAAGGAACAAUAGGAAGUAUACAUAACAAGGGAUGAUAAUGAACUCCUCAUAUGAAUAUGAAAAUGAGAAAGAAGUCAACAUAUGUCUCAUGAAGAAUCAUAAAGAAAAUGAUGUAAAUGAUUUAACUUAUAAAUUUAAUUAUUUUGAACUCUCCCUCCCUUUACUCUUUCAUCUUAUAAUAGUUUUGAUGAAUCUACCGUGUGUGCAAAAUUCAAUGUUGUAAAAAAAUAAAAUUGAAGAUUUGCAUAAUACAAUUGAUAAAUGUAUCAAAGGAAGAUACAACUUUAACCUCAUUCUAGGUAAUCAAUGAGGAACAUAUCAUAAAGUUGGCUUUGGAUACUAGCCUAAAAAUAAUGGUAAUAAUAAAUUCUCCCUUGCUAAUAGGACUCAUAACUACAUUAUUCGAAAAUGUAUUUACUAUGAUAAAAAUUGUCAUAUUCUUGUAUCUUUCUUUAUAAAAAAUAACCAUCAAUUUUACAUUAAACAUAAUUUUUCUUCAUUUUGCUUCUUUAAGAAAACUUAUGAACAUGGUUCAACACAGACUCCUAAAAUAUUUAUGCAUUUUAUUAAUUCUAGAGGACCCAAAAUAAUUCACGUACAUAAAUUUAAAAAACUUAAGUUUAUAAUACAUAUAUGCUUUACAAUCUCAACCGUUAUCUUGAUAGUAAUUGUUCAAAGCAUGUGAUUGGAGAUAGAGUUAUUUUUUCUCCCUUUACUCCAAAAAGGAAGGAUUUGUUUCGUAUAGUAAUAAUAACAAACGAAGGGUCGUAGGUUCUUGCGCGAUUGAUAAGUAUUUCAAUCAAAUGAUUGAUGAUGCUCUACUAGUUGAAGGUAUAAAACGUAACAUGCUUAGUAUUACUCAGUUAUAUGACAAAGGUCACAAAGUGACUUUUGAUUCAUCUGUAUGAAGGAUCGUAUAAAUUAAAAACAAUCAAACUCUUAUUACUAGUAUAACAAGUUGAGAUACCUAUACUGUUAAUUUUAAUAAAUUACCUUCAAACGAUGUUUGUCUGCUAAGUAAAGAGGACGAAUUAGGAGUUUGCCAUAGGAGAAUAACCCAUAUCCUCAUGGACAAUUAAAAAAAUUGGUCUACAAGGAGUUAUGAUUGGUCAGCCAAACAUCCAUUUUAAAAAGAAUAGGUUAUAUGAUGC
Molecule: long non-coding RNA, 1441 nt
Filed under: Lathyrus oleraceus (garden pea)
Lineage: Eukaryota; Viridiplantae; Streptophyta; Magnoliopsida; Fabales; Fabaceae
Description: Pisum sativum (pea) long non-coding RNA (PSAT_LNC008029)
Source: RNAcentral